Non-coding RNA from Schistosoma margrebowiei, 46 nucleotides. The record is from Rfam. NCBI's taxonomy places the organism in Eukaryota, Metazoa, Platyhelminthes, Trematoda, Strigeidida, Schistosomatidae.
GCACUGCUAAGGAGUCCCAUACUAGGACGAAACGGCCGUCCAGUGC